RNAcentral lists this transfer RNA (73 nucleotides) under Chloroflexota bacterium. Its description in RNAcentral is "tRNA-His". It matches the Rfam family "tRNA". Rfam says of the family: Transfer RNA (tRNA) molecules are approximately 80 nucleotides in length. Their secondary structure includes four short double-helical elements and three loops (D, anti-codon, and T loops). Further hydrogen bonds mediate the characteristic L-shaped molecular structure. tRNAs have two regions of fundamental functional importance: the anti-codon, which is responsible for specific mRNA codon recognition, and the 3' end, to which the tRNAs corresponding amino acid is attached (by aminoacyl-tRNA synthetases). tRNAs cope with the degeneracy of the genetic code in two manners: having more than one tRNA (with a specific anti-codon) for a particular amino acid; and 'wobble' base-pairing, i.e. permitting non-standard base-pairing at the 3rd anti-codon position. The record is from RNAcentral. Lineage: Bacteria; Bacillati; Chloroflexota.
GUGGCCGUAGCUUAACGGGCAGAGCAUCUGGUUGUGGCCCAGAAGGUUAAGGGUUCAAAUCCCUUCGGUCACC